UAUCUAAUCCGUAAACGAUGGAUACUAGUUGUUUGAUCUUCGGAUUGAGUGACUAAGCGAAAGUGAUAAGUAUCCCACCUGGGGAGUACGUUCGCAAGAAUGAAACUCAAAGGAAUUGACGGGGGCCCGCACAAGCGGUGGAGCAUGUGGUUUAAUUCGAUGAUACGCGAGGAACCUUACCAGGGCUUAAAUGUAGUCUGACAGCUUUAGAGAUAGAGUUUUCUUCGGACAGAUUACAAGGUGCUGCAUGGUUGUCGUCAGCUCGUGCCGUGAGGUGUCAGGUUAAGUCCUAUAACGAGCGCAACCCCUGUUGUUAGUCGCCAGCGAGUAAUGUCGGGAACUCUAGCAAGACUGCCGGUGCAAACCGUGAGGAAGGUGGGGAUGACGUCAAAUCAUCACGGCCCUUACGUCCUGGGCCACACACGUGCUACAAUGGUAGGUACAGAGAGCAGCCACUGCGCGAGCAGGAGCGAAUCUAUAAAACCUAUCGUAGUCCGGAUUGG
Molecule: ribosomal RNA, 503 nt
Filed under: uncultured bacterium
Lineage: Bacteria
Description: bacterial SSU rRNA
Rfam family: Bacterial small subunit ribosomal RNA
Source: RNAcentral